RNAcentral lists this long non-coding RNA (205 nucleotides) under Hordeum vulgare. RNAcentral's name for it is "long non-coding RNA (HVUL_LNC010052)". Lineage: Eukaryota; Viridiplantae; Streptophyta; Magnoliopsida; Poales; Poaceae. The record is from RNAcentral.
GGAGAUGGUAGCUCACGAUAUCUACAACCAGUUUGGAUGAUGAUCCAGUAAUUGGAUAGAUGGUUAUGCAUCUAGGCCUAUGUUAGCCGGUUGUGGCAUCUUUUAGUUCAUUUUGCAUUAUUUUGCUGCUCCUUUAGAGCUUGUUCGGAACCAUAGACUAUUUGAUUGCUUUUUCUAAUAAAGUGGCUGCAUGCACCAUAUUGAU